GAAGGUUUGGUUGAGGCCCAUUGGAUGGCACAGAAGUUUGCUGGGUUUCCUGGCCAGUGCUGGUCUAUGAUCACUGGGGAAGCAGGAAAGGUCCUGCCAAGGUACAGGUAGACUGAAGCUGGGAAGCACUCCCACUGGGAUAGCUUUGAAAUUCACUGGGGGUUCUGCUCUUUGGGAGUUGCUGAAACUCAACGGGAAGCCAUCCAUGAGAGUGUGGCUGGAUGUCCCUUGCAUGUGCAAGGUAGUCAUGAGGCAGGAGCAAUACAGAAAUGAGCCAAAACCGGGAAGAGAAGCUGCUUCCUCUUGCAGGGUCCCUCUAGCACUCUCUAUUGGCAAACUUCACAUCAUGUCAACUGUGCAGGAGUAAUGCUUCCAAGGCUCAUCUCCAUUAGAGCAGAGUAGGCAAUGAAAUGUGACUUUGGAACAGAGGCAAUACACCGGUAACUGGCUGCUAUGGACUAGAUAUUUGUGUCUCCCCCCAAAUUCGUAUUUUGAGACUUACCCCUGCCUACCUCUCCUCCCUUUCCCCCUCACAAUGUGAUGAUGUUAGGAAGUAGGGCCUUUGGGAGAUAAUUAGGAUGAGAUGAGGUCAUCAGAGAGUAGGGCUUGCACAAUUAGUGCCCUUAGAGUCAUGAAAGAGCUUGCUUUUCUGUUCUGCUUGCUGGAGAUGUGAGGAUAAAAGCAUUCUGAGUGCAGAAGUCAAGGUUCUGCCCUCAAAAGUGGGCUCUCACCAAAACCUGAGCAUACUGGCACCCCAAUCUCAGACUUCCAACCUCCACAACUGUGAGAAAUGCAUUGCUGUUGUUUAUAAGCCAGUCAGUUCGUGCUGGUUUGAUACAGCAGCCCAAACUAUGACACUAGCAAUCCAUUAAGUGCGUGCAGAGUAGUGAAGACCAAGGACCGAUCGCUCUAAAACUGAGAGGUUGAGAAGAAGAGGAACUCAACCAGGGACACUGAGAAGGAACAACCGACAAGGCACUCAGCAUGAGGUACAUUCCUUGAGGCGCCUUCCAGAGUCCCAGGGGGUGCACCCCAGUGGCCCCACAUGAUCCAGCUUGAUAAAGCACCGUGUACUGGCUUUCUUUUCUGCUUGGUUCUCUCUUCCCAAGCCCCCAGACCUCCAUCCCUGUUCCCUAGGAACCACUUCCCAAAAUAAAUGAAUGCCUAUGAUCCCUCAUCUUAGCUUUGUUUUUUGGGGGGAACUCAAACUAUCUUUAACUCUGCCACUGCCUUUGCCAAAUUAAAAGUAUGAUAAUUA
Nyctereutes procyonoides (raccoon dog) is the source of this 1258-nucleotide long non-coding RNA. RefSeq lists it as uncharacterized. Lineage: Eukaryota; Metazoa; Chordata; Mammalia; Carnivora; Canidae. The transcript is spliced from 2 exons. The record is from RefSeq and is a predicted model, not a curated record.